Molecule: ribosomal RNA, 253 nt
Filed under: uncultured bacterium
Lineage: Bacteria
Description: partial 16S ribosomal RNA
Rfam family: Bacterial small subunit ribosomal RNA
Source: RNAcentral
UACGGGGGGGGCAAGCGUUGUUCGGAAUUACUGGGCGUAAAGGGCUCGUAGGCGGCCAACUAAGUCAGACGUGAAAUCCCUCGGCUUAACCGGGGAACUGCGUCUGAUACUGGAUGGCUUGAAUCCGGGAGAGGGAUGCGGAAUUCCAGGUGUAGCGGUGAAAUGCGUAGAUAUUUGGAGGAACACCGGUGGCGAAGGCGGCAUCCUGGACCGGCAUUGACGCUGAGGAGCGAAAGCCAGGGGAGCAAACGGG